Molecule: transfer RNA, 23 nt
Filed under: Habenaria malacophylla
Lineage: Eukaryota; Viridiplantae; Streptophyta; Magnoliopsida; Asparagales; Orchidaceae
Description: partial tRNA-Phe
Source: RNAcentral
UCAGGAUAGCUCAGUUGGUAGAG